RNAcentral lists this non-coding RNA (23 nucleotides) under Arabidopsis thaliana (thale cress). Lineage: Eukaryota; Viridiplantae; Streptophyta; Magnoliopsida; Brassicales; Brassicaceae. The record is from RNAcentral.
UUUUCGAUGUCUAGCAGUGCCAA